GACCGAUAGUGAACCAGUACCGUGAGGGAAAGUGAAAAGUACUUCGAAUAGAAGGUGAAAUAGAUCCUGAAACCAUACGCUUACAAACUGUCGUAGCCCUCUUAAUUUUAUUAAGAGUAGGGUGACGACGUGCCUUUUGCAUAAUGAACCUACGAGUUAAUUUUUCCGGCAAGGUUAAGUAGUUCAGCUAUGGAGCCGUAGCGAAAGCGAGUCUGAAUAGGGCAUUUAGUCGGAAGAAUUAGACGCGAAACCGAGUGAUCUACCCAUGAGCAGGUUGAAACUGUGGUAACACAUAGUGGAGGACCGAACCGGUUGACGUUGAAAAGUCUUCGGAUGACUUGUGGGUAGGGGUGAAAGGCUAAUCAAACUCGGAGAUAGCUCGUACUCCCCGAAAUGCAUUUAGGUGCAGCAUCGUGUUAAAUAUAACAGAGGUAGAGCUACUGAUUGGAUGAAGGGGUUUCAUCACCUGCUAAUUCCUGAUAAACUCCGAAUGCUGUUAUUAUGUUUCACGGUAGUGAGGGCAUGGGUGCUAAGAUCCAUGUCCAAGAGGGAAACAACCCAGACCAUCAGUUAAGGCCCCUAAGUAUAUAUUAAGUUGUAUAAACAAAGUUUAAUUACACAGACAGCUAGGAUGUUGGCUUGGAAGCAG
Molecule: ribosomal RNA, 649 nt
Filed under: Blattabacterium punctulatus
Lineage: Bacteria; Pseudomonadati; Bacteroidota; Flavobacteriia; Flavobacteriales; Blattabacteriaceae
Description: bacterial LSU rRNA
Rfam family: Bacterial large subunit ribosomal RNA
Source: RNAcentral